GCCGCCCUCACCUCAAGCGCCGCGGCUGCUUCCUCCUCCUCCUCCUCCUCCUCACGCCGUGCCAGGUGGUCCUUUUGAGACUCCUAAACAAGAAAACAGAGUCAGAGGAAUUGAACGUGAAUUAAAGUGAAGGAAGAGAGAGACUAACAAGUGAGCUAUGACAGCAAAGAUUACUUUUGGGGGAAAGAAAUCAGCACAAGCAGAGGAAUGAAUGGACACAGAGGAAGAAAUAAUGACAAGAGAGAAGGAGAAGACCUAGUGAAAGACGCCACGGGAGAAGCCUGGUGGAGAGGGGCUUGCGGAUGAGAGCGAGAGAAAACUACGUUUGCAGUAAAUAAAAGCAUAAAAGCAUCCCUCACAGAGGAUCUCUCAACUCGGUGACCUUUGAAGUUGCAAGGACACGUGGCCUAGACAGGAAAGGAAGACAGCACAUCCCUCAGGAACAGAAAUCAAUAUUCUCCUGUCACUUAAACACAAACAACAAAGAAACCCCAGUCCCCUGGUGAGCAAUUGCCAGUUUAAUCUCGCCAUCCUCAGUAAGUCACUCCUUUACUACUGUGGAGGUGCCAGCAUAUUCAUUAUGGGCUCUGCUUUCUUUGUCACAACCACUGUGCUCAGGAAAUACACGUUCAGUUCCCUUGCCUGUGUCCAAGAGGAAAACAGCACUCAUGAAAUCAGGGCCCCACCUCACAGUUUUAAUCUCCAACCCUGCCACAAUAAGAGAACUAAACAAUACUUACAAUUGUGUUAUCUUUAACAAGCAUUUGAGAAAAAUGUUCACUUCUUAUGCAACAGUAAAAACCUGUAAAUAAACUGCAGUGAUGUGAAUCAACACAUGAGGGAUAUGGUGGGGUCUGUGUGGGCAGGGCAGGUGAUUCACAGAAAGAAAAGCCUGACAAACCAAAUUUACAGUCACUUCAUAAAGCAAACUUAGCACUUGCCUUUCUGCAAAGCACAGGGCUCAGUCUGUGCUGUGCAGGGCACACAUCAAACACCCAGAGCUGGUUCCCUCUUCCUUCCAAGGCGUGUCCAUAGAAAGGGAUGUGAUCAGUACUUAAAAACCCAACAACACCCCCAGACAGGCUGAGAACAAACAAAGCCCUCACUGAGAACCAUGGCAGUUCUCUCCAAACAAGCAAAGCAUAUCAAAGCAACCCGGAGAAAGCAGUAGGAGUGAAGUAGUAAAUAAAAAUCCA
Passer domesticus (house sparrow) is the source of this 1196-nucleotide long non-coding RNA. RefSeq lists it as uncharacterized. NCBI's taxonomy places the organism in Eukaryota, Metazoa, Chordata, Aves, Passeriformes, Passeridae. The transcript is spliced from 4 exons. The record is from RefSeq and is a predicted model, not a curated record.